RNAcentral lists this ribosomal RNA (393 nucleotides) under uncultured bacterium. RNAcentral describes it as "bacterial SSU rRNA". It matches the Rfam family "Bacterial small subunit ribosomal RNA", at positions 29 to 410 of the family's 1533-position model. The record is from RNAcentral.
AGCGAACGUUAGCGGCGGGCUUAACACAUGCAAGUCGAGCGAGAAAGUGGCUUCGGCCAUCAGUAAAGCGGCGGACGGGUGAGUAACACGUAGGUAAUCUUCCUUCGAGCGGGGGACAACGUUCCGAAAGGGACGCUAAUACCGCAUACGUUUCUCGGGACCUCGGUCCUGGGAAGGAAAGCUAGGUCGCAAGAUCCGGCACUCGAUGAGGAGCCUGCGUCGCAUCAGCUAGUUGGUGGGGAAUGGCCUACCAAGGCGAAGACGCGUAGCUGGUCUGAGAGGAUGAUCAGCCACACUGAAACUGAGACACGGUUCAGACUCCUACGGGAGGCAGCAGUGGGGAAUAUUGGACAAUGGGCGCAAGCCUGAUCCAGCCACGCCGCGUGAGUGAUG